GGCAGGAUCCAAUUCUCUGCCACCGAAUACAUUAGCAUGGGAUAAUGGAAUAGGACCCUGUCCUCCUAUUUUCAGUUGGUUUUGGCAGCGCGAGGACUAGGGUAAUGAUUAAUAGGGAUAGUUGGGGGCAUUAAUAUUUAAUUGUCAGAGGUGAAAUUCUUGGAUUUAUGAAAGAUUAACUUCUGCGAAAGCAUCUGCCAAGGAUGUUUUCAUUAAUCAAGAACGAAAGUUAGGGGAUCGAAGACGAUCAGAUACCGUCGUAGUCUUAACCAUAAACGAUGCCGACCAGCGAUUAGGAGACGUUGAAUACAAAACACCACCAUCGGUGCGGCUGUUCUUGGCGUCGGUUUCGGCCGGCGCGGGGAUGGCUUAGCCCGGUGGCACCGGUGAAUGACUCCCCUAGCAGCUUGUGAGA
Molecule: ribosomal RNA, 415 nt
Filed under: Acanthamoeba genotype T4
Lineage: Eukaryota; Discosea; Longamoebia; Acanthamoebidae
Description: SSU rRNA
Rfam family: Eukaryotic small subunit ribosomal RNA
Source: RNAcentral